UACGUAGGGACCGAGCGUUGUCCGGAAUCAUUGGGCGUAAAGAGCGUGUAGGCGGCCCCUUAAGUCCUGCGUGAAAUCCUGUGGCUCAACCGCAGACGGUCGUGGGAAACUGGAGGGCUAGAGUGCGGGAGAGGAGAGUGGAAUUCCCGGUGCAGCGGUGAAAUGCGCAGAUAUCGGGAAGAACACCCGUGGCGAAGGCGGCUCUCUGGAACGCAACUGACGCUGAGACGCGAAAGCGUGGGGAGCAAACAGG
Molecule: ribosomal RNA, 253 nt
Filed under: uncultured bacterium
Lineage: Bacteria
Description: partial 16S ribosomal RNA
Rfam family: Bacterial small subunit ribosomal RNA
Source: RNAcentral